This 29-nucleotide non-coding RNA is filed under the name Homo sapiens (human). Lineage: Eukaryota; Metazoa; Chordata; Mammalia; Primates; Hominidae. The record is from RNAcentral.
UACAGUGUGGUUAGAAGUUGUCAUUGGUC